Molecule: long non-coding RNA, 2164 nt
Organism: Cynoglossus semilaevis (tongue sole)
Lineage: Eukaryota; Metazoa; Chordata; Actinopteri; Pleuronectiformes; Cynoglossidae
Exons: 5
Source: RefSeq, a predicted model, not a curated record
AAACAUCUCUUUUUAAAUGUAUUCUAACCUUCUAACAAUCCACCAUUCCAUCCAUCCAUACAGCCAUCCAUCAAACCUCCCAUUCAUUCAUCCAGUUACUUGACAAUUUAUAUAGUAAUUAAGCCAACUAUCUUUCCAUCAACCCUCGAUCGUCCAUCUGUCUAUCAGCACUGCAGCCAUCCAUCCAUCCAUCCAUCUAUCCAUCCAUCCAUCCAUCCAUCUAAUUUCACGUACUGCUUCAGUCAUUAUUCUCAUGCUCCAGAUUAUGAAGUAAAAAAAUCAAUUUUAUUGUUUCCUUCUCUCUUUUCCUUUCCUUUUUCCUCUCAUCUUCGUUAUAGCUUCUUUUUCAACACAUGAGGGACGACUGUGAGGAGUAUAAAUCCACCAGCAGGAAAUAAAACAGUGUGAGAUUUCCUGAUCAGCAGUCAUUAUGUGUGUACUGCAUUCCUUUGACCUCUGAUGAUGCAUUAAUAGCCACCUCUCUUUACCACUGUAGAUCCCCCCCCCCCCACCAUUUUGAUUCAGCUGCAGUCAUAUACAGAGGGCAUUUAAAGUGAGGCUGUUGUGCUGUGUGUGACUUCCCUGCCCUCAGCUGUUGAUUUGCUGCUGUUUUGUCUUCUGCAGCUGCUCUGAAUCCUGACGAGCUGACGAGCCCAAGCACUGAUGGGUGUGGUCUCUAAUUGAGGAAAUGCUGUAUUUAAGUUCCAGCUCCACAUGGAGUCAGUGCCUUACCCUGCCUGUGGUCACUUCCUGGGUGGGUUGCUACCUUGUCUUUGUUAUGCUCAGGCUGCAAAGUGAUCUUUGCUUGUAUGUUUUGUUUUGAUUUCUGCCCAUUGCCUUGUCUUUUUGGAGUUUGCACCUGGAAUUCUCACUCUUUUUUGGCGUGAUGAAGCACUACACUUGUGGGUUUUUAUUGAUCCUGAAGCAAAUGGAAACUUCCUGGUUACAGCCCUGACCAAGCAGCUGGAGCUCCAGAUGGUCAUUCUCCACUCUCACCUAAUGCACCAAAACUUAACGUGGAAGGUAGAGGAGCAAGUCCGCUUUAUGUUCCUCCUGGAGCUCCUUCCUCCCAUGGGUUGAAUUGGCCGAGACUCCCUCUUCUCAUCAGCCACAGGGCUGGAGUGGUGGUGUAAUGGAAGUACCGCUUGCCCUCCCACUCGAAGGUGCUGGUUUGAAUACCAGCUUCUCCCUAAAUCCCAAGUUGGGCUGCAUGAGGAAGGGCAUCCCUACAACUUUCAGACCACGGGACAUGAUGUGAAUCAGGGGUGCUGAGCCAACCCCAGCUCUCAACUACUAGGGUGGGGGGACACCCUGGACCUUUCCGAGUCCAUAGAGGGUCACACACAGAGACAGGAACCAUGUAUUUGCAUUUACAGCCAAUAUGGAGCGAACAUUCAACCAGAGCUGCAUGGAGAGGAAACUGGAGACCUGGUGAAACAAUUGAAGCAUCCAAAAAGGGGUCUUUUUGAUGUCAGUGAAACCUAACCUCAGGGAGGUCUGUUGGAGCCUGCACCAUUCUGCUGGCAGUGGGAUCCGCUCAGAAACGUUGGCUCCUCCUCGAUUCCAAGUGCUAAAAAAAGUGUUUGUAAUUAUGUUUAAUGUUGGUGGAGUAAAUGUGCUUUGAAAGGUUAAGGAUUAACGUGUUGAGCCGACUGCCUACAUACUGUGUGGUAUUUACAGCAAACUUUAUAAUGAAAGAACUCUCCUUCUCUGCCUACCUUCGCAAUUGCAACUUGUUACUGUAGUAAACUAAUACAGGGAAUGGAGUACGACAGGUGGUAAUUUACAGGUGGUAAUUUGUGUGGUUCAACUCACAUGUGAUGUGUUAAAAGGUGGACCCUAGAAUAUUUUCCAUGUUGUCCAGGCGUGAAGGGAGACGUGCGGUAGCUGUUAGUCGUUAAAACACUAAAUGUGACUUUAUUUUAUCUACAUUUAUUUCCUUUUACUAUUUAUUCUGCUUUGUUUUCUUGGAGUCUGUUAUUUCCAUCUAAUUUGCACUUAUAAUUUGUUUUCAAUAUUGUUGUACUAAUUUUGGUAAUAACAUUUAUGAAAUGUAUUUUAAAUUAAAUUAAAUUUUUAAAAAUAUCCAAAUAUAGCACUUUUCCUGUUCAAACUAAAUUACAUAUUUAUACUUUUAAGCGAGUGUGCACUUAAAAGAAGUAAU